GGCCGCGUCGCGCAAUGGAUAACGCGUCUGCCUACGAAGCAGAAGAUUGUAGGUUCGAUCCCUACCGUGGUAC
Molecule: transfer RNA, 73 nt
Filed under: Pristionchus pacificus
Lineage: Eukaryota; Metazoa; Nematoda; Chromadorea; Rhabditida; Neodiplogasteridae
Rfam family: tRNA
About the family: Transfer RNA (tRNA) molecules are approximately 80 nucleotides in length. Their secondary structure includes four short double-helical elements and three loops (D, anti-codon, and T loops). Further hydrogen bonds mediate the characteristic L-shaped molecular structure. tRNAs have two regions of fundamental functional importance: the anti-codon, which is responsible for specific mRNA codon recognition, and the 3' end, to which the tRNAs corresponding amino acid is attached (by aminoacyl-tRNA synthetases). tRNAs cope with the degeneracy of the genetic code in two manners: having more than one tRNA (with a specific anti-codon) for a particular amino acid; and 'wobble' base-pairing, i.e. permitting non-standard base-pairing at the 3rd anti-codon position.
Source: Rfam by way of RNAcentral